CGUACAUUAGUCUUCUAGGUGAAGGCACUCGCUUCAUACGUGAGAUUAAGCUUGGUUCGAAUCCAAGAUGUACGACCA
Molecule: transfer RNA, 78 nt
Filed under: Serratia phage Slocum
Lineage: Duplodnaviria; Heunggongvirae; Uroviricota; Caudoviricetes; Demerecviridae
Also listed under: 1 other name
Description: tRNA-Met
Rfam family: tRNA
About the family: Transfer RNA (tRNA) molecules are approximately 80 nucleotides in length. Their secondary structure includes four short double-helical elements and three loops (D, anti-codon, and T loops).
Source: RNAcentral